CCUUUUUGUUUCAAGAGUCUUGUUCUUAGUAACUUAAAUAUUUUUUUGUUCUAACUCGAUGAUAGAAUUGUGAACAUUCUCAGUUCACUUACUUUCAACACCGUUGUAUUUUGGGAUACAGGUGCCAUUAGUACUUUUGCACAGCGGAGGGGGAUAUGUUUAAAGGAAAAUAUGUGCAACAAAGCCUUGAUUCUUUUCAAUACCGUUGCUACAUCAACAAUCAGAUUUUCUUUCUUUUGUUGUUACUCUGUUUAUUAUAAUAGUAGUACUUCUCAUUUCUUUUUGUAUUUUUCCAAGCAAAAUUUUCAUAUCAUAAUAAAUAAUAAAAUAACCUCCCUCUCCCUGGCGAUUUUUGCUUCUAAUAUUAAUUAAUAAUUUCCAUCUAUCUUAAAUAAAUCAACUAUUAACAUAUGAAUUUCACCAGUUAAUAUAAAACUCAGAAGAUGAAAUUAAUUUGGCAGGUUUAUUGGAAUCUAAAAACGCUCCAGGGACAAUUUCGUCAUUUGUCGCGACGGUAGAAAGACCAAAUCAGAAUUAAUCAAUCCUAGUAUCUACGAAACAAUUUGAUUGCACAGGAAGUUAUAAUAGACAGACUCACCCUCUCUCUUGGUAUUUAAGUUUGUAAAUAAUUUAUAUAGGUUCUAAACAAGUGAAUGAUCCAAUUACGGAACUAAUAAUUGGGUUCUCCAGAGAUAUACAAAAUUCAGCAAAGAAUUUGUACAUGGACAAAAAACAUAUAAAUUACACGUAGAGAGAGCGAAAGAGAGAUGGAAUACAUACCAUUUAAGAAUACUGGAUUGAUGGCAGAGAAAGGUUCUGAACAGCCUUCUACAAAGAGAAGAUCAUCUUAUAUGAAUUGAAUUAUAUGAGAGGCAGCAGAAGGACCUUUAAAGGGCAAACCAUUUCAUCAUGAUAAUAAAGUAUACAUCUUUUUUUUCCUUUUUUGCUCCUACUCCGAUAGAGAAAAUUGAGAAUUCUCGUGUGUGUUCUUCCUUCUUCUUUACGUUUUUCCCUCUUUUUCCUUUGAUAUUCUCUCUGGGAGAAAGAGAAAGUUGAGAAUUCUAGUGGUGUUUUCUUCUUUCUAACGAGUUUUCCUUAAUUAUUUGCAGUGAGCUAACUUUAGUAUUUAUAAACAUUGGAAGAAGUACUCUUUGCGGAAGGAGUCCAAAUGAGUUGUAGGAACCUGGGAGCCAACAAGGGCACAUCCUGCGAUUUACCUCCCUGAGCUGCUGAGGGGCCGGAGGUUCAGGGACAAGGAUCUAGUCGGACGCAAGCCCGGACACCUUGUUAAAAAAAAAAAAAAAAAAAAAAAAAAAAAAAAAUUGGAAAAAAAAAAACAAUUAAAAAAAACAAAACAAAAACAUUGGAAGAAGUAAAACAUUUCGCGCACAUGCAUAUGUAAUAUGUUGUUUAAUUUAUUGCCAACUUUCAAC
This 1433-nucleotide long non-coding RNA is filed under the name Olea europaea (common olive). Its description in RNAcentral is "long non-coding RNA (OEUR_LNC000718)". Lineage: Eukaryota; Viridiplantae; Streptophyta; Magnoliopsida; Lamiales; Oleaceae. The record is from RNAcentral.